Acanthopagrus latus (yellowfin seabream) is the source of this 1351-nucleotide long non-coding RNA. RefSeq lists it as uncharacterized. NCBI's taxonomy places the organism in Eukaryota, Metazoa, Chordata, Actinopteri, Spariformes, Sparidae. The record is from RefSeq and is a predicted model, not a curated record. The transcript is spliced from 6 exons.
GGCGUCCGAGCCAAUCAGCGAUCGGCUUUCCAGAACUUACUUGUUUAAAAUGAGAGGACAUCUUAACGAGCCGGUCAGUGGCUCCGACAAACAAGAAACACAACUAAAAUGUUAUCGGGGAUGCCUCUCUGCUUCUGGCGUUGUUGUCCACGUUGCAGUACGUGACAAUAAAUGCGGAUGAAGCGACUCGUCGAUGAUGGAUGUAAACCCACCCCACAGACCCUGGCAUCUGUAAGUUGGAUGAGAUGUUGAUUCUCAAGCUCCUGUCCUCCUUCGUACUCUUGGCCAACUGAAUCAGAGGUCAACUGCAUCCUUCAAGUCUGAAGAUGGGAGACUUCAAGGAUGUGGUUAAGCAGACUGGUCCAGUUAUUGUGAAUACAAUGAAUGGACUGUAUCCUGCCCGCAAACACUUCCCCUUCAUAAUGGGUGGAAGAACACUGAGCUGAGAGCUGGCAGCCUCAUGGCCAGAAAACUAUUGCAGUGGCAGCAGAAGUUGGGCCUGGACCUCCACCUGCUGCAUGCAUGGCCUGUCCUUGAUCCACGAGCUGCACAACCUCAAUUGACCUUACUGGGAAAAGGCAGUUUUGAUUGAGAUUUUGACUCACUCAUGUCCAUAAGCAAGACCAUCGCCUACACUGGGAAGAGAUCUCAAGGCUCUAGCUGUGUUGUGGUUUUAUUGCUAGUGGGCAGCAUAGGGAGAAUUCCAGUUUUGCUGCAUUUUAUCCUCAAACAAAUGUUAGAUUCAUUGUCAUCACAUUAGAAAACAUUGUCCACGCACACUGUAUUAAAUAUGCUCUAACUCUGUCAUGUAUAUUCACAUGGCAUCCAACUGUUCAGUGAUCCUGUGAGUUAGUGCAAUCAUGUACAUCGCAGUAAUGGCUUUUACUGAGUAAUAGCUUGACUGUGUGGAUUUCUCUGCAGGGAUUACAGUUUCUGUGAUUGCCUUGCAUCAUCAGAGGCCACAGCUCAUCUUAAAUAUCUGCAUGUUCUCUGUGUUGUACUAUUUCAUUCCAGCCAGCGGCGGGUUUGAUGUCAAUGUUGUGGCCUGGGCAGUAUGUCAUUAAAUGUAUGUCAUGGUAGUGUUUAUGUAAUUAAUAAUGAAAGCAAUGAAACGCUGUAAAAAGCUCAGGCUGUGCUGAAUGUUGGAGCCAAGAUAUUUUUGGGGGUUAUUGUGAUUGUAUGAAUGUUUUGACUAUAGAGGAAAAUUGUUUUUAGAAAUACUGAGCGAUUAAAUAACACUUGAACCAACCAUGUCUUGCAUGUAGCUACAUCAGGCUGCCUCUCAAAUAUAAUCUUACAAAUGAUGCAGUACUUAAGUAUAGUCCUGCUGGUUGCCUACAACUUGAUAUAG